GACGAACGCUGGCGGCGUGCCUAACACAUGCAAGUUGAGCGACGAACCAGGGCUUGCCCUGGGGCAAAGCAGCGAACGGGUGAGUAACACGUGGGUAACCUACCCCGAUAACCGGGACAACCCGAGGAAACUCGGGCUAAUACCGGAUGUGCUCACUGGACUUCGGUUCAGUGCGUAAAGGAAGCUUCGGCCUCCGUAUCGGGAGGGGCCCGCGGCCCAUUAGUUUGUUGGUGAGGUAACGGCUCACCAAGACCGCGAUGGGUAGCUGGUCUGAGAGGACGAUCAGCCACACUGGGACUGAGACACGGCCCAGACUCCUACGGGAGGCAGCAGUGGGGAAUCUUGCGCAAUGCGCGUAAGCGUGACGCAGCAACGCCGCGUGGGGGAAGAAGGCCUUCGGGUUGUAAACCCCUUUCAGGAGGGACGAAGGUUCGGCGGUGAAUAGCCGUCCGGACUGACGGUACCUCCACAAGAAGCCCCGGCUAACUACGUG
RNAcentral lists this ribosomal RNA (493 nucleotides) under uncultured bacterium. RNAcentral describes it as "partial 16S ribosomal RNA". It matches the Rfam family "Bacterial small subunit ribosomal RNA", at positions 28 to 507 of the family's 1533-position model. The record is from RNAcentral.